CCAAAAGCUCCUAAAAUUUUAAAGCUAUAUGAUGUCAAAAGUACUGGAAAACGCAAUUUAUCAUGAUACAUAGAGUAUUUUGUUUACAUUUCAUUAUAUAUUAUUUAUAGUUGUGUAGGCCAAGUCAUAUUCACCUUUAUGAAUUCCAUUGGUAUUUUAAAUUUUAAAAGUCCAUAGUGAUACAUUUUUCAGGGUAAAACAAAAGAUUGUAUUUUAAAAAUGUAAUACAAACCCUUCUGUUACUGCCUUGAUUGCUGUGCCUUCCUAACCAGACCUCUACCUCUUGAGAGUUCAUAAACCAUAUAACAGUGUGGUGAUCACUCUUUAGAUCAUACCCAUGUGUAUACCAAGCAAUUGGUGAAUAAUGUAUACUCAGACAUACUAGUAUAAGUUACAAAUAAUUUGUAUGUGUAUAACCAUAUUUGUCAAGAAAAAUUUUUUUUUUUAUUAUAUAAGUGAUGUUUGGUGUUGGCAUUUAUCUUUUUUUGAAAAAAAUCAACUACCAUUAUGGUACCAAAAGAAGUCAAGUCCUAUUCAAAAUGAUGCUGAAUUAAAGGUGUCAGACCACUAAUUAAAAAUCCCUGGUGUCAGACCACCAAUUGAAAAUCCCUAUCUGUUCAACCAAAUUUUGCAAUUUCACAGCUUUCUAAAUAUUUUACCUUAAGUUUAACUUCAAGGAAACCAGGUAUAUCCUGAAUUGUACAUGUGUCACCUUUCUACAUGCC
This 725-nucleotide long non-coding RNA is filed under the name Mytilus galloprovincialis (Mediterranean mussel). Lineage: Eukaryota; Metazoa; Mollusca; Bivalvia; Mytilida; Mytilidae. The record is from RNAcentral.